GACGAACGCUGGCGGCGUGCUUAACACAUGCAAGUCGAACGGAAAGGCCCUGCUUUUGUGGGGUGCUCGAGUGGCGAACGGGUGAGUAACACGUGAGUAACCUGCCCUUGACUUUGGGAUAACUUCAGGAAACUGGGGCUAAUACCGGAUAGGAGCUCCUGCUGCAUGGUGGGGGUUGGAAAGUUUCGGCGGUUGGGGAUGGACUCGCGGCUUAUCAGCUUGUUGGUGGGGUAGUGGCUUACCAAGGCUUUGACGGGUAGCCGGCCUGAGAGGGUGACCGGCCACAUUGGGACUGAGCUACGGCCCAGACUCCUACGGGAGGCAGCAGUGGGGAAUAUUGCACCAUGGGCGGAAGCCUGAUGCAGCAACGCCGCGUGCGGGAUGACGGCCUUCUGGUUGUAAACCGCUUUCGCCUGUGACGAAGCGUGAGUGACGGUAAUGGGUAAAGAAGCACCGGCUAACUACGUG
RNAcentral lists this ribosomal RNA (468 nucleotides) under uncultured bacterium. RNAcentral describes it as "partial 16S ribosomal RNA". It matches the Rfam family "Bacterial small subunit ribosomal RNA", at positions 28 to 507 of the family's 1533-position model. The record is from RNAcentral.